GUGCUCACUUCAGCAGCACAUGUACUAAAGUUGGAACAAUACAGAGAAGAUUAUCAUGGCCCUUGCAUGAGGAUGACAUGCAAAUUAGUGAAGUGUUCCAUAUAUAU
Molecule: small nuclear RNA, 107 nt
Organism: Marmota marmota marmota (Alpine marmot)
Lineage: Eukaryota; Metazoa; Chordata; Mammalia; Rodentia; Sciuridae
Source: Ensembl